Molecule: long non-coding RNA, 575 nt
Filed under: Mastacembelus armatus (zig-zag eel)
Lineage: Eukaryota; Metazoa; Chordata; Actinopteri; Synbranchiformes; Mastacembelidae
Description: lncRNA (ENSMAMG00000027275.1)
Source: RNAcentral
UAUUAAUUGAGAAAAUAAUCAGGCAAAUAAUUGACAAUUGGAAAUAUUCAAUAGCUGCAGCCCUGUGACUAUUGGAUCUAGUCACCAUGGGUUCACUACAGGGGAUCUGUCACUUUAAGAGAGUGUUGUAUUGUGGGUUGUUUCCUUUGACUGCUAGAGUUGGAGCUACAAAACAAAAAAGUUGACCACUGAAAUGUCAUGUUUUGAGAUGGCAAAAGGCCGACUUAAAAUGCUAAUAGCAAAAAACAAAACAAAACUGUUUUUGUGAACCCACACAGCACUGAGCUGUGGGUACAUGACUGAAAACACAAGAGUGAAGGAGUACUUGUCACACUUGGCAAACAAAUUUGGACAAACAACCAAAGGUCUGGAGGUGGCAAUGGUAGAUGUGCUGUGCUGGAGGGGAGAGUGGAAUAGAAGAGAGUGAGAAAGAGUAAUUUCACCACUGGUUUAUCAAACACCUCCACAGUCAAUCUCUGGCUCUCACCAACUUCAUCAUUGCAUAGAGAAACUCUUCUUCACCACUUUGCACUUUUUUUCUAGUGGGGUGCUGUAUAGUAUGUGUUGUGCUGACU